RNAcentral lists this ribosomal RNA (301 nucleotides) under uncultured bacterium. RNAcentral describes it as "partial 16S ribosomal RNA". It matches the Rfam family "Bacterial small subunit ribosomal RNA", at positions 509 to 807 of the family's 1533-position model. The record is from RNAcentral.
CAGCCGCCACGGUAAAACGUAGGUGGCAAGCGUUGUCCGGAAUUAUUGGGCGUAGAGCGCGCGCAGGAGGUUUAAUAAGUCUGAUGUGAAAGCCCACGGCUCAACCGUGGAGGGUCAUUGGAAACUGUUAAACUUGAGUGCAGGAGAGAAAAGUGGAAUUCCUAGUGUAGCGGUGAAAUGCGUAGAGAUUAGGAGGAACACCAGUGGCGAAGGCGGCUUUUUGGCCUGUAACUGACACUGAGGCGCGAAAGCGUGGGGAGCAAACAGGAUUAGAUACCCCGGUAGUCCCUGUCUCUUAUAC